RNAcentral lists this transfer RNA (87 nucleotides) under Candidatus Yanofskybacteria bacterium RIFCSPHIGHO2_01_FULL_44_24. RNAcentral describes it as "tRNA-Leu". It matches the Rfam family "tRNA". From Rfam's summary of the family: Transfer RNA (tRNA) molecules are approximately 80 nucleotides in length. Their secondary structure includes four short double-helical elements and three loops (D, anti-codon, and T loops). Further hydrogen bonds mediate the characteristic L-shaped molecular structure. tRNAs have two regions of fundamental functional importance: the anti-codon, which is responsible for specific mRNA codon recognition, and the 3' end, to which the tRNAs corresponding amino acid is attached (by aminoacyl-tRNA synthetases). tRNAs cope with the degeneracy of the genetic code in two manners: having more than one tRNA (with a specific anti-codon) for a particular amino acid; and 'wobble' base-pairing, i.e. permitting non-standard base-pairing at the 3rd anti-codon position. Lineage: Bacteria; Candidatus Yanofskyibacteriota. RNAcentral also lists the same sequence under 2 other names. The record is from RNAcentral.
GCCGCUGUGGUGGAAUUGGCAGACACGUACGACUCAAAAUCGUAUGGCCUCACGGCCAUGUCGGUUCGACCCCGACCAGCGGCACAA